GAUGAACGCUGGCGGCGUGCCUAAUACAUGCAAGUCGAGCGAACAGACGAGGAGCUUGCUCCUCUGACGUUAGCGGCGGACGGGUGAGUAACACGUGGAUAACCUACCUAUAAGACUGGGAUAACUUCGGGAAACCGGAGCUAAUACCGGAUAAUAUAUUGAACCGCAUGGUUCAAUAGUGAAAGACGGUUUUGCUGUCACUUAUAGAUGGAUCCGCGCCGCAUUAGCUAGUUGGUAAGGUAACGGCUUACCAAGGCAACGAUGCGUAGCCGACCUGAGAGGGUGAUCGGCCACACUGGAACUGAGACACGGUCCAGACUCCUACGGGAGGCAGCAGUAGGGAAUCGUCCGCAAUGGGCGAAAGCUUGACGGAGCAACGCCGCGUGAGAGAUGAAGGUCUUCGGAUCGUAAAACUCUGUUAUUAGGGAAGAACAAAUGUGUAAGUAACUAUGCACGUCUUGACGGUACCUAAUAAGAAAGCCACGGCUAACUACGUG
This 497-nucleotide ribosomal RNA is filed under the name uncultured bacterium. RNAcentral describes it as "partial 16S ribosomal RNA". It matches the Rfam family "Bacterial small subunit ribosomal RNA", at positions 28 to 507 of the family's 1533-position model. The record is from RNAcentral.